This is a non-coding RNA of Dryococelus australis, 72 nucleotides long. NCBI's taxonomy places the organism in Eukaryota, Metazoa, Arthropoda, Insecta, Phasmatodea, Phasmatidae. The record is from the annotation of a GenBank genome assembly.
GGCCUGUUGGUCCAGGGGUGUGAUUCUCGCUUUGGCUGCGAAAGGUCCCCGGUACGUUUCCCGGACAGGCCC